This 468-nucleotide ribosomal RNA is filed under the name uncultured bacterium. Its description in RNAcentral is "partial 16S ribosomal RNA". It matches the Rfam family "Bacterial small subunit ribosomal RNA", at positions 28 to 507 of the family's 1533-position model. The record is from RNAcentral.
GACGAACGCUGGCGGCGUGCUUAACACAUGCAAGUCGAACGGAAAGGCCCUGCUUUUGUGGGGUGCUCGAGUGGCGAACGGGUGAGUAACACGUGAGUAACCUGCCCUUGACUUUGGGAUAACUUCAGGAAACUGGGGCUAAUACCGGAUAGGAGCUCCUGCUGCAUGGUGGGGGUUGGAAAGUUUCGGCGGUUGGGGAUGGACUCGCGGCUUAUCAGCUUGUUGGUGGGGUAGUGGCUUACCAAGGCUUUGACGGGUAGCCGGCCUGAGAGGGUGACCGGCCACAUUGGGACUGAGGUACGGCCCAGACUCCUACGGGAGGCAGCAGUGGGGAACAUUGCACAAUGGGCGGAAGCCUGAUGCAGCAACGCCGCGUGCGGGAUGACGGCCUUCGGGUUGUAAACCGCUUUCGCCUGUGCCGAAGCGUGAGUGACGGUAAUGGGUAAAGAAGCACCGGCUAACUACGUG